AGGAAUAUUGGUCAAUGGACGAGAGUCUGAACCAGCCAAGUAGCGUGAAGGAUGACUGCCCUAUGGGUUGUAAACUUCUUUUAUACGGGAAUAAAGUGAGGCACGUGUGCCUUUUUGUAUGUACCGUAUGAAUAAGGAUCGGCUAACUCCGUGCCAGCAGCCGCGGUAAUACGGAGGAUCCGAGCGUUAUCCGGAUUUAUUGGGUUUAAAGGGAGCGUAGGCGGACGCUUAAGUCAGUUGUGAAAGUUUGCGGCUCAACCGUAAAAUUGCAGUUGAUACUGGGUGUCUUGAGUACAGUAGAGGCAGGCGGAAUUCGUGGUGUAGCGGUGAAAUGCUUAGAUAUCACGAAGAACUCCGAUUGCGAAGGCAGCCUGCUGGACUGUAACUGACGCUGAUGCUCGAAAGUGUGGGUAUCAAACAGGAUUAGAUACCCUGGUAGUCCACACAGUAAACGAUGAAUACUCGCUGUUUGCGAUAUACAGUAAGCGGCCAAGCGAAAGCGUUAAGUAUUCCACCUGGGGAGUACGCCGGCAACGGUGAAACUCAAAGGAAUUGACGGGGGCCCGCACAAGCGGAGGAACAUGUGGUUUAAUUCGAUGAUACGCGAGGAACCUUACCCGGGCUUGAAUUGCAACUGAAUGAUGUGGAGACAUGUCAGCCGCAAGGCAGUUGUGAAGGUGCUGCAUGGUUGUCGUCAGCUCGUGCCGUGAGGUGUCGGCUUAAGUGCCAUAACGAGCGCAACCCUUAUCGAUAGUUACCAUCAGGUUAUGCUGGGGACUCUGUCGAGACUGCCGUCGUAAGAUGUGAGGAAGGUGGGGAUGACGUCAAAUCAGCACGGCCCUUACGUCCGGGGCUACACACGUGUUACAAUGGGGGGUACAGAAGGCAGCUACACGGUGACGUGAUGCUAAUCCCUAAAGCCUCUCUCAGUUCGGAUUGGAGUCUGCAACCCGACUCCAUGAAGCUGGAUUCGCUAGUAAUCGCGCAUCAGCCACGGCGCGGUGAAUACGUUCCCG
Molecule: ribosomal RNA, 1016 nt
Filed under: uncultured bacterium
Lineage: Bacteria
Description: bacterial SSU rRNA
Rfam family: Bacterial small subunit ribosomal RNA
Source: RNAcentral